GAUGAACGCUGGCGGCGUGCCUAAUACAUGCAAGUCGAGCGAACAGACGAGGAGCUUGCUCCUCUGACGUUAGCGGCGGACGGGUGAGUAACACGUGGAUAACCUACCUAUAAGACUGGGAUAACUUCGGGAAACCGGAGCUAAUACCGGAUAACAUAUUGAACCGCAUGGUUCAACAGUGAAAGACGGUUUUGCUGUCACUUAUAGAUGGAUCCGCGCCGCAUUAGCUAGUUGGUAAGGUAACGGCUUACCAAGGCAACGAUGCGUAGCCGACCUGAGAGGGUGAUCGGCCACACUGGAACUGAGACACGGUCCAGACUCCUACGGGAGGCAGCAGUAGGGAAUCUUCCGCAAUGGGCGAAAGCCUGACGGAGCAACGCCGCGUGAGUGAUGAAGGUCUUCGGAUCGUAAAACUCUGUUAUUAGGGAAGAACAAAUGUGUAAGUAACUAUGCACGUCUUGACGGUACCUAAUCAGAAAGCCACGGCUAACUACGUG
This 497-nucleotide ribosomal RNA is filed under the name uncultured bacterium. RNAcentral's name for it is "partial 16S ribosomal RNA". It matches the Rfam family "Bacterial small subunit ribosomal RNA", at positions 28 to 507 of the family's 1533-position model. The record is from RNAcentral.